GAUCAUGGCUCAGGAUGAACGCUGGCGGCGUGCCUAACACAUGCAAGUCGAACGGAGCUGCUUUGAUGAAGUUUUCGGAUGGAUUUAAAACAGCUUAGUGGCGGACGGGUGAGUAACGCGUGGGUAACCCGCCUCACACUGGGGGAUAACAGUUAGAAAUAGCUGCUAAUACCGCAUAAGCGCACAGUUCCGCAUGGAACAGUGUGAAAAACUCCGGUGGUGUGAGAUGGACCCGCGU
RNAcentral lists this ribosomal RNA (238 nucleotides) under uncultured bacterium. Its description in RNAcentral is "partial 16S ribosomal RNA". It matches the Rfam family "Bacterial small subunit ribosomal RNA", at positions 15 to 236 of the family's 1533-position model. The record is from RNAcentral.